Molecule: small nucleolar RNA, 181 nt
Organism: Esox lucius (northern pike)
Lineage: Eukaryota; Metazoa; Chordata; Actinopteri; Esociformes; Esocidae
Product: small nucleolar RNA SNORA23
Source: Ensembl
GUGGGCCGGUGUGCGUGGUUGCAGUCUGCGUCAUGUGCCGCCGCCAGGCCGUGUCUUACGGCCUGUCGGUGGUGCUCACUCCUCACACCUGCGGCCGCAGAGCACCUGGAGAUCAUAGUACUGGCUCUGUGACGUCUCUCUGACUCUUACCGCUGGCCAGCCUCCAUACUCUCCUACAAAC